GACGAACGCUGGCGGCGUACUUAACACAUGCAAGUCGAACGGUGAUGCUCCAGCUUGCUGGAGUGGAUCAGUGGCGAACGGGUGAGUAACACGUGAGCAACCUGCCCCAGACUCUGGAAUAAGCGCUGGAAACGGCGUCUAAUACUGGAUACGAAACUGGCCCGCAUGGGCAUGGUUUGGAAAGUUUUUCGGUUUGGGAUGGGCUCGCGGCCUAUCAGCUUGUUGGUGAGGUAAUGGCUCACCAAGGCGACGACGGGUAGCCGGCCUGAGAGGGCGACCGGCCACACUGGGACUGAGACACGGCCCAGACUCCUACGGGAGGCAGCAGUGGGGAAUAUUGCACAAUGGGCGAAAGCCUGAUGCAGCGACGCCGCGUGAGGGAUGACGGCCUUCGGGUUGUAAACCUCUUUCAGCAGGGAAGAAGCGAAAGUGACGGUACCUGCAGAAGAAGCACCGGCUAACUACGUG
RNAcentral lists this ribosomal RNA (468 nucleotides) under uncultured bacterium. Its description in RNAcentral is "partial 16S ribosomal RNA". It matches the Rfam family "Bacterial small subunit ribosomal RNA", at positions 28 to 507 of the family's 1533-position model. The record is from RNAcentral.